UUGACCUCGGAUCAGGUAGGAAUACCCGCUGAACUUAAGCAUAUCAAUAAGCGGAGGAAAAGAAACCAACAGGGAUUGCCCUAGUAACGGCGAGUGAAGCGGCAACAGCUCAAAUUUGAAAUCUGGCCUCGGCCCGAGUUGUAAUUUGCAGAGGAUGUUUCUGGCGAGGUGCCUUCCGAGUUCCCUGGAACGGGACGCCACAGAGGGUGAGAGCCCCGUAUGGUUGGACACCAAGCCUGUGUGAAACUCCUUCGACGAGUCGAGUAGUUUGGGAAUGCUGCUCAAAAUGGGAGGUAAAUCUCUUCUAAAGCUAAAUACCGGCCAGAGACCGAUAGCGCACAAGUAGAGUGAUCGAAAGAUGAAAAGCACCUUGAAAAGGGGGUUAAACAGUACGUGAAAUUGUUGAAAGGGAAGCGCUUGUGACCAGACUUGUGCCGGGCGGUUCAUCCGGGGUUCUCCCCGGUGCACUCCGCCCGGUUCAGGCCAGCAUCGGUUCUCGUUGGGGGAUAAGAACGGCAGGAACGUGGCCCUCCUUCGGGUGGGUGUUAUAGCCUGCCGUACGAUACCCUGAUGGGGACCGAGGUUCGCGCUCCGCAAGGAUGCUGGCGUAAUGGUCAUCAGCGACCCGUCUUGAAACACGGACCAAGGAGUCGUCCAUUAGAGCGAGCGUUUGGGUGUAAAACCCGCACGCGUAAUGAAAGUGAAAUUAGGUGAGAGCUUCGGCGCAUCAUCGACCGAUCCUGAUGUUCUCGGAUGGAUUUGAGUAAGAGUUUUAACGGACGGACCCGAAAGACAGUGAACUAUGCUUGUAUAGGGUGAAGCCAGAGGAAACUCUGGUGGAGGCUCGCAGCGGUUCUGACGUGCAAAUCGAUCGUCAAAUAUGAGCAUGGGGGCGAAAGACUAAUCGAACUGUCUAGUAGCUGGUUACCGCCG
This 933-nucleotide ribosomal RNA is filed under the name Aurantiosacculus eucalyptorum. RNAcentral describes it as "eukaryotic LSU rRNA". It matches the Rfam family "Eukaryotic large subunit ribosomal RNA", at positions 1 to 963 of the family's 3401-position model. Lineage: Eukaryota; Fungi; Ascomycota; Sordariomycetes; Diaporthales; Cryphonectriaceae. The record is from RNAcentral.